GGCUCAAUGGUCUAGUAGCAUGAUACGUGCUUCGGGUGUUUCCCCGCCACAAAUGUGGUGAAGAUGUACGUGACCCGGGUUCAAUUCCCGGUUGAGCCC
RNAcentral lists this transfer RNA (99 nucleotides) under Paxillus rubicundulus Ve08.2h10. Its description in RNAcentral is "tRNA-Pro". It matches the Rfam family "tRNA". Rfam says of the family: Transfer RNA (tRNA) molecules are approximately 80 nucleotides in length. Their secondary structure includes four short double-helical elements and three loops (D, anti-codon, and T loops). Further hydrogen bonds mediate the characteristic L-shaped molecular structure. tRNAs have two regions of fundamental functional importance: the anti-codon, which is responsible for specific mRNA codon recognition, and the 3' end, to which the tRNAs corresponding amino acid is attached (by aminoacyl-tRNA synthetases). tRNAs cope with the degeneracy of the genetic code in two manners: having more than one tRNA (with a specific anti-codon) for a particular amino acid; and 'wobble' base-pairing, i.e. permitting non-standard base-pairing at the 3rd anti-codon position. Lineage: Eukaryota; Fungi; Basidiomycota; Agaricomycetes; Boletales; Paxillaceae. The record is from RNAcentral.